UUGGCUCAGGAUGAACGCUGGCGGCGUGCCUAACACAUGCAAGUCGAACGAAGCAUCUUCCUCAGAGAUUCGUCGAAGAGGGAUUUGACUUAGUGGCGGACGGGUGAGUAAUGUAUGAGCAACCUGCCUUUCAGAGGGGGACAACAGUUGGAAACGACUGCUAAUACCGCAUAAUGUAUCGAGAGGGCAUCCUUUUGAUACCAAAGGAGCAAUCCGCUGGAAGAUGGGCUCAUAUCUGAUUAGUUAGUUGGUAGGGUAACGGCCUACCAAGACUGCGAUCAGUAGCCGGACUGAGAGGUUGAACGGCCACAUUGGGACUGAGAUACGGCCCAGACUCCUACGGGAGGCAGCAGUGGGGAAUA
RNAcentral lists this ribosomal RNA (362 nucleotides) under uncultured rumen bacterium. RNAcentral describes it as "bacterial SSU rRNA". It matches the Rfam family "Bacterial small subunit ribosomal RNA", at positions 19 to 363 of the family's 1533-position model. The record is from RNAcentral.